This 1682-nucleotide ribosomal RNA is filed under the name Luciogobius elongatus. Its description in RNAcentral is "16S ribosomal RNA". The stretch from base 99 to 1603 matches the Rfam family "Bacterial large subunit ribosomal RNA". Lineage: Eukaryota; Metazoa; Chordata; Actinopteri; Gobiiformes; Gobiidae. The record is from RNAcentral.
ACACUCCUAACAGCUAGCCCCCUCCCCAAAAACAACAAACACCAUUAAUAAACCCCCAUAAACAAUACAAACAAACAACAAACCAUUUUUCCUCCCUAGUAUGGGUGACAGAAAAGGAUACAUGGCGCAACAGAAAAAGUACCGCAAGGGAAAGCUGAAAGAGGAAUGAAAAAACUCAGUAAAGAAGAAGAAAGUAGAGACAACCCCUCGUACCUUUUGCAUCAUGACUUAGCUAGUACCCCUCAAGCAAAAUGCCUUUUAGUUUGAACCCCCGAAACUAAGCGAGCUACUCCAAGACAGCCUAUUUUUAGGGCAAAUCCGUCUCUGUGGCAAAAGAGUGGAAAGAUCUUUGAGUAGAGGUGACAGACCUACCGAGCUCAGUUAUAGCUGGUUGCCUACAAAAAGAAUAAAAGUUCACCCUCUAAUUUUUUUAACUCAAAACUGCACAUGCCUUCCAGUGAUAAAAAGAAAAUUAAAGAGCUAUUCAAGGGGGGAACAGCCCCCUUGAAAAAAGAUACAACUUUAUUUAGAAGGCUAAAGAUUAAAUAAUUAUCAGGCACAGUACCUCGGUGGGCCUAAAAGCAGCCAUCCCUACAGAAAGCGUUAAAGCUCAAGUACUUUACCCCUCCCUAAUCCCAAAAACACAAUCUUAAGCCCCUCCUUUAUUUAUAGUAGGCCUUUUCAUGCCCCCAUGAAAGAGACACUGCUAAGAUGAGUAAUAAGAGGAAAUGCUCCUCUCCUAAACACCUGCAUAACUCAGAACGAACCCCCACUGAAAAUUAACGCCCCCAACAUUAGAGGGGCCUGGAGUAACCCCAAAAUAACCUAGAAAAACCUCCUAAAAAAAGCGUUAACCCUACACAGGUGUGUUUAAGGAAAGACUAAAAGAAAAAGAAGGAACUCGGCAAACACUGGCCUCGCCUGUUUACCAAAAACAUCGCCUCUUGCAACAAACGUAUAAGAGGUCCCGCCUGCCCUGUGACUAACUAGUUUAACGGCCGCGGUAUUUUGACCGUGCGAAGGUAGCGUAAUCACUUGUCUUUUAAAUGAAGACCUGUAUGAAUGGCACAACGAGGGCUAAACUGUCUCCUUUUUCUAGUCAAUGAAAUUAAUCUCCCCGUGCAGAAGCGGGGAUACUAACAUAAGACGAGAAGACCCUAUGGAGCUUAAGACACAAGACAGCCCCUGUAAAACACCUAGCUUAAUAGAAAUAACUAAAGGGUUCCUGUCCUCCUGUCUUUGGUUGGGGCGACCGCGGGGAAACAAAUAUCCCCCAUGUGGAAUGGGCCCUCCCCCCAAAGCCAGAGCAACAGCUCUAGCUAACAGAAUAUCUGACCUACAAGAUCCGGCAAAGCCGAUCAACGGACCGAGUUACCCUAGGGAUAACAGCGCAAUCCCCUUUUAGAGCCCAUAUCGACAAGGGGGUUUACGACCUCGAUGUUGGAUCAGGACAUCCUAAUGGUGCAGCCGCUAUUAAGGGUUCGUUUGUUCAACGAUUAAAGUCCUACGUGAUCUGAGUUCAGACCGGAGAAAUCCAGGUCAGUUUCUAUCUAUGAAUGUUUUUUUCUAGUACGAAAGGACCGAAAAGAAGAGGCCUAUGCUGCAAGUAAGCCUCCCCCUCACCUAAGGAAAACAACUAAAAUAGGUAAAAGGGCAUAAAACCCUGCCUAAGAAAAAGGCAA